RNAcentral lists this ribosomal RNA (460 nucleotides) under Luzula spicata. RNAcentral describes it as "eukaryotic LSU rRNA". The stretch from base 320 to 460 matches the Rfam family "Eukaryotic large subunit ribosomal RNA", at positions 1 to 141 of the family's 3401-position model. The record is from RNAcentral. Lineage: Eukaryota; Viridiplantae; Streptophyta; Magnoliopsida; Poales; Juncaceae.
UGCAGAAUCCCGUGAACCAUCGAAUUUUUGAACGCAAGUUGCGCCCGAGGCCUUUUUGGCCUAGGGCACGCCUGCCUGGGCGUCAGUUGGCCCUCGGCGCUCCAUGCCAUGUGUGAUCUCUCACGGCUGGAUGCGGGCCUGGCCCUUCGAGUCCCUGAGCUCGGCGGGCCAAAGCGUUUGGCUUGCCCAUUGGGGCUGGCUGUGGCGAGUGGUGGAUCGAUCGCUCAGACGAGCCGUACGUCGCCCAGCUAGACCCCUCGGGUAUAUGGCCUUGUUGAAACCCCAGAAUAGCACAUGCCGAAUGGCAUUGGCGAAACCAAGACCCCAGGUCAGGCGGGACCACCCGCCGAGUUUAAGCAUAUAAUUAAGCGGAGGAGAAGAAACUUACGAGGAUUCCCCUAGUAACGGCGAGCGAAAUGGGAACAGCCCAGCCUUGGAAUCGUGCGGGUCUUCCGCACGA